GAAAGUCUACUCUUUCUACGUCUUUGCUCGGUGCAGCCGACAAUUGGUCCAGGUAUAGCAUCUAUGGCUUGAACCUGAAAUAUCGAUCUUGUCUCCUAGAUCUUCCUCUUCUUAGAAUUGUUGGUGACAACCCAGAUGCUAGGACUCAGUAAAGAUGUCAUUCAUUCGGAAUGCAUCGACGUCUGUUUCUCACCUUGGUCGAGCAGCUGGUUUGUCAACAUAUUGGUCACACUUGCCUUCCUUAACGAGCUUCUCAAGGUACUUCAUCCACGUAGUGCAAUCGUUGGUUGUGUGCCCAGGACCUCUGUGGAUAGCACAUAACUUUGUCUGGUCUAUCGUUGAGGUAUCCCCUCUUAUGGGUGAUGGCGGCUUGAACCACGGCAUGUCCUUGAGGUCACGAAUGGUGUACGUCUUGGGCGUCGUGCCUCCCUUCAUCAGGGAUCCAUCCCUGUAUUUGCUUCCUAGCUUAUUUUUAUUGUUAACCAGUUUAUCGCUCACCUUCUUCUAAGUCAGGUCUCCAUCUUUGCGCGGCUGCUCAGGCUGCUUCUAGGACCGCUUAGCCUCAUUCCAAAAUGAAUGCAUUUCUACCAAGACAUAAGAAUCUGCCAAGGUCAAGUUCUCACCCAUGAUCAGUUCUCCAAAAAGUGGGCAAUUUAUUAGAAGCCCCUUUCGGAAGGCUGAGCAAGCAAUGCUUGUAGACAUGUAAAUUUCGUUGCAUCCAAAUAAUGCAUCACAAAGCUCCACAUGGUAUAUGACUCAUUAUAAAUGGACAAGCCAUUAAUGACAUGUGGCACUAAUUAAGCAAAGGAAGCUCAAAACUUCGCUAAAUUGCUCCCAAAACCGGAAAGAAAGCUAAAGCAUCUUCAUAAAACAAGCAAGAAUUGAAGAUUACUCAUAAAAUAAGCAAGAAAGCCCUAUAAAUGCGGCCAAGCAAGGGAAAGUGGCUGAAAUUAAGACACAAAACAUGCCUAAAUUCUCCCAUGGACGAAUCAAGACAAAAAUCAAAGCCAAAUCCAUCCAAAGGCAAGCUUUAAGAAGUCUAGAAAUACAAGGCCCUCAAACAAGCAUAAAGGUCAACAAUUUCUACAUUAAAGGGCGGAAAUUCUCACAAAUGGAUAACCUCUACCAAAUCUUUGAAGACUAAUAUGCUGCCAAAGCUCUCUUCGAAGAAUGC
RNAcentral lists this long non-coding RNA (1174 nucleotides) under Malus domestica (apple). Its description in RNAcentral is "long non-coding RNA (MDOM_LNC015362)". Lineage: Eukaryota; Viridiplantae; Streptophyta; Magnoliopsida; Rosales; Rosaceae. The record is from RNAcentral.